RNAcentral lists this ribosomal RNA (422 nucleotides) under Bacillus safensis. RNAcentral describes it as "bacterial SSU rRNA". It matches the Rfam family "Bacterial small subunit ribosomal RNA", at positions 107 to 515 of the family's 1533-position model. The record is from RNAcentral. Lineage: Bacteria; Bacillati; Bacillota; Bacilli; Caryophanales; Bacillaceae.
UGAGUAACACGUGGGUAACCUGCCUGUAAGACUGGGAUAACUCCGGGAAACCGGAGCUAAUACCGGAUAGUUCCUUGAACCGCAUGGUUCAAGGAUGAAAGACGGUUUCGGCUGUCACUUACAGAUGGACCCGCGGCGCAUUAGCUAGUUGGUGAGGUAACGGCUCACCAAGGCGACGAUGCGUAGCCGACCUGAGAGGGUGAUCGGCCACACUGGGACUGAGACACGGCCCAGACUCCUACGGGAGGCAGCAGUAGGGAAUCUUCCGCAAUGGACGAAAGUCUGACGGAGCAACGCCGCGUGAGUGAUGAAGGUUUUCGGAUCGUAAAGCUCUGUUGUUAGGGAAGAACAAGUGCAAGAGUAACUGCUUGCACCUUGACGGUACCUAACCAGAAAGCCACGGCUAACUACGUGCCAGCAGC